This 936-nucleotide ribosomal RNA is filed under the name uncultured bacterium. Its description in RNAcentral is "bacterial SSU rRNA". It matches the Rfam family "Bacterial small subunit ribosomal RNA", at positions 45 to 996 of the family's 1533-position model. The record is from RNAcentral.
UGCUUACCAUGCAGUCGAACGAUGAUCCCAGCUUGCUGGGGGAUUAGUGGCGAACGGGUGAGUAACACGUGAGUAACCUGCCCUUGACUCUGGGAUAAGCCUGGGAAACUGGGCCUAAUACCGGAUAUGACUCCUCAUCGCAUGGUGGGGGGUGGAAAGCUUUUGUGGUUUUGGAUGGACUCGCGGCCUAUCAGCUUGUUGGUGGGGUAAUGGCCUACCAAGGCGACGACGGGUAGCCGGCCUGAGAGGGUGACCGGCCACACUGGGACUGAGACACGGCCCAGACUCCUACGGGAGGCAGCAGUGGGGAAUAUUGCACAAUGGGCGAAAGCCUGAUGCAGCGACGCCGCGUGAGGGAUGACGGCCUUCGGGUUGUAAACCUCUUUCAGUAGGGAAGAAGCGAAAGUGACGGUACCUGCAGAAGAAGCGCCGGCUAACUACGUGCCAGCAGCCGCGGUAAUACGUAGGGCGCAAGCGUUAUCCGGAAUUAUUGGGCGUAAAGAGCUCGUAGGCGGUUUGUCGCGUCUGCUGUGAAAGACCGGGGCUCAACUCCGGUUCUGCAGUGGGUACGGGCAGACUAGAGUGCAGUAGGGGAGACUGGAAUUCCUGGUGUAGCGGUGAAAUGCGCAGAUAUCAGGAGGAACACCGAUGGCGAAGGCAGGUCUCUGGGCUGUAACUGACGCUGAGGAGCGAAAGCAUGGGGAGCGAACAGGAUUAGAUACCCUGGUAGUCCAUGCCGUAAACGUUGGGCACUAGGUGUGGGGGACAUUCCACGUUUUCCGCGCCGUAGCUAACGCAUUAAGUGCCCCGCCUGGGGAGUACGGCCGCAAGGCUAAAACUCAAAGGAAUUGACGGGGGCCCGCACAAGCGGCGGAGCAUGCGGAUUAAUUCGAUGCAACGCGAAGAACCUUACCAAGGCUUGACAUGAACCGGAAA